Molecule: ribosomal RNA, 484 nt
Filed under: uncultured bacterium
Lineage: Bacteria
Description: partial 16S ribosomal RNA
Rfam family: Bacterial small subunit ribosomal RNA
Source: RNAcentral
AUUGAACGCUGGCGGCAGGCCUAACACAUGCAAGUCGAGCGGAUGAAGGGAGCUUGCUCCUGGAUUCAGCGGCGGACGGGUGAGUAAUGCCUAGGAAUCUGCCUGGUAGUGGGGGAUAACGUCCGGAAACGGGCGCUAAUACCGCAUACGUCCUGAGGGAGAAAGUGGGGGAUCUUCGGACCUCACGCUAUCAGAUGAGCCUAGGUCGGAUUAGCUAGUUGGUGGGGUAAAGGCCUACCAAGGCGACGAUCCGUAACUGGUCUGAGAGGAUGAUCAGUCACACUGGAACUGAGACACGGUCCAGACUCCUACGGGAGGCAGCAGUGGGGAAUAUUGGACAAUGGGCGAAAGCCUGAUCCAGCCAUGCCGCGUGUGUGAAGAAGGUCUUCGGAUUGAAAAGCACUUUAAGUUGGGAGGAAGGGCAGUAAGUUAAUACCUUGCUGUUUUGACGUUACCAACAGAAUAAGCACCGGCUAACUUCGUG